GGAAGCGAGAGUGAUCUGGUGAUUACCACGGCCUUCAAAGCCGCUGUGUGGCGUUAGUCAUAGGUGGGUUCGAUUCCCACACGUUUCCGCCA
Molecule: transfer RNA, 92 nt
Filed under: bacterium
Lineage: Bacteria
Description: tRNA-Sec
Rfam family: Selenocysteine transfer RNA
Source: RNAcentral